This 533-nucleotide long non-coding RNA is filed under the name Homo sapiens (human). Its description in RNAcentral is "HSALNT0106686". Lineage: Eukaryota; Metazoa; Chordata; Mammalia; Primates; Hominidae. The record is from RNAcentral.
GUUCUGGGCUUAGAAUCCUGGUUGGCUGACUUCUGGCUUAUUGCUCUUUUCACAGCCGUAAGCUGUCUCCUGCAAUUGAUUUCUUCAGAGUCCAUGGCUAAUUCUUUAGGAUACCCUAAUCGUGGGCCAUGAAAUUCUUCAUGCUCUGGGAUUUUUGUUUUCCUGAAACCUUUGACACAGAGCUUUCAUUGAGAAGAGGAAAUGAAGAAAGAAGCAUGGUUCCAAGUACCAUGAAUAGCCCCACCCGAGGGGAGCAGUUUAUGUGUGCAGAAAGCGCCCUGGGGACCACUUCAUCAUACCCACGCAGAGAGGCCAGCACAUAGCAGGAACUCUGCUUUAGAGGCUGGAUCCCAGCCAACCUGAGCUUGGACCCUGGCACCAGCUGAGCAUCACUUUCACCGACAUUCAGCUCUGCAGGGUCCCUCAUCUACAGAGCCCCUAAGUUUGGCUGAACAUCGUCACUAUGCUAGGCAAGGAUCCCAGUGAGCAAGGAAAGGCCUGCAGAUGCCUCUCCCAACGAAGACCUGUGCACC